RNAcentral lists this ribosomal RNA (284 nucleotides) under uncultured soil bacterium. RNAcentral's name for it is "partial 16S ribosomal RNA". It matches the Rfam family "Bacterial small subunit ribosomal RNA", at positions 26 to 317 of the family's 1533-position model. The record is from RNAcentral.
AGAUUGAACGCUGGCGGCAGGCCUAACACAUGCAAGUCGAGCGGUAGAGAGGUGCUUGCACCUCUUGAGCGGCGGACGGGUGAGUAAUGCCUAGGAAUCUGCCUAGUGGUGGGGGAUAACGUUCGGAAACGGACGCUAAUACCGCAUACGUCCUACGGGAGAAAGCGGGGGACCUUCGGGCCUCGCGCCAUUAGAUGAGCCUAGGUCGGAUUAGCUAGUUGGUGAGGUAAUGGCUCACCAAGGCGACGAUCCGUAACUGGUCUGAGAGGACGUAGUACUACGUA